AAUACGAAGGGGGCUAGCGUUGCUCGGAAUUACUGGGCGUAAAGGGCGCGUAGGCGGCGCAGUUAGUCAGGCGUGAAAUUCCUGGGCUCAACCUGGGGACUGCGCUUGAUACGGCUGUGCUAGAGGAUGGAAGAGGCUCGCGGAAUUCCCAGUGUAGAGGUGAAAUUCGUAGAUAUUGGGAAGAACACCGGUGGCGAAGGCGGCGAGCUGGUCCAUUACUGACGCUGAGGCGCGACAGCGUGGGGAGCAAACAG
This 254-nucleotide ribosomal RNA is filed under the name uncultured prokaryote. RNAcentral describes it as "partial 16S ribosomal RNA". It matches the Rfam family "Bacterial small subunit ribosomal RNA", at positions 522 to 775 of the family's 1533-position model. The record is from RNAcentral.